Homo sapiens (human) is the source of this 1018-nucleotide long non-coding RNA. Ensembl annotates it as MIR3976 host gene. The record is from Ensembl. NCBI's taxonomy places the organism in Eukaryota, Metazoa, Chordata, Mammalia, Primates, Hominidae.
GAGUGUAAGCUGCUAUAUGAAGGGAUCCACAAGACGAAUAAUUAAGGGGGACCUCUGAUCAACAGCCAGCAAGGAACUGAAUCCCUCAGACCCACAACUCACAAGAAACUGAAGCUGAAGCAGAUUCUUCCUCAGUCAAGCUUCAGGUGCCCAGCUGUAUUGGUAGAGGAGACCAACCACACCCUCCACAGCACAGCACCUGGAGAGGAACUGCUGCCAUGACCAUAGAGGACACCCUCUGGAUACAAUGCCAGACUUGAUGUGGGACUGACCAACCUAUGGACCCCAGGCACCACCACCCAGACCUGCUCAGCACCUGAAACAUUCACAGCCGUGGAGAGAGAACUGUUCACUGCUACCAUCCACACUUCUGGGCCCCUUCAGCAGCAGGGUGACAAGGAAGAGGGAAAUCGACUUGGAAAAGAGGGGACCUCUGACCCAAGAGUUCGGUCAAUGCAUAUGUUGGCAGCCAGCUGCACAUCGCACCAAAUAUGAACUUCAAAUAGAAGAAAGCCUCAUUUGGAAGAAAGCUCAUGCACAGACUGUAAAUAUUUCAGAGCAGAUUGUGUCUCUGUAGAUUAAGGGAGUGGAGCAGGAGCCUGAGGUCAUAUGAGUUUGUAGCUCCUGUGUGGGACCACCACUUCACAAGCCAGGGAAAGGCAAUCAGCACCCCAGUGUUCUUAGCACGUCAUGCCCCGGUACAGCCUCCAUUCCACAAGUGGUGGGGCUGGGCAGAAGAAAAGAGCUCUUACUACUCAUUUCCACUGAUCUGGAACAUAGCUGCAGUAACAGAUAGCUGGGGCAAGAUGAGAAACACUGAAGUCCUGCUCCUCCUGGGAAUAAAGGCCUCUCUGACUAGAAGCUGGUGGGGCAAGGAAGCCCUGUGGUCUUGGCUGCAGCAGUCUGGAGUGGAGUCUCUGCUUUAUAGGGGGAAGAGUGGAGUAAGUAGUCUUGGUUCACAUACCACAGACUUUCAAAUUUCUUACUGAAUUUUCUUGAAUAGAUGCUUCUUCACUGU